This 183-nucleotide ribosomal RNA is filed under the name uncultured bacterium. RNAcentral's name for it is "partial small subunit ribosomal RNA". It matches the Rfam family "Bacterial small subunit ribosomal RNA", at positions 26 to 198 of the family's 1533-position model. The record is from RNAcentral.
AGAGCGAACGCUGGCGGCGUGCUUAACACAUGCAAGUCGAACGCGCAGCAUUCUGUAGCAAUACAGGGUGUGGGCGCGUGGCGAACGGGUGCGUAACACGUGGAUAACCUUCCUUGAGGUGGGGAAUAACCCAGUGAAAAUUGGGCUAAUACCGCAUAACAUCGCAAUGGCACAUGCUGAUGC